Molecule: ribosomal RNA, 231 nt
Filed under: uncultured bacterium
Lineage: Bacteria
Description: partial 16S ribosomal RNA
Rfam family: Bacterial small subunit ribosomal RNA
Source: RNAcentral
CGGACGGGUGAGUAAUGUCUGGGAAACUGCCCGAUGGAGGGGGAUAACUACUGGAAACGGUAGCUAAUACCGCAUAACGUCGCAAGACCAAAGAGGGGACCUUCGGGCCUCUUGCCAUCGGAUGUGCCCAGAUGGGAUUAGCUAGUAGGUGGGGUAACGGCUCACCUAGGCGACGAUCCUUAGCUGGUCUGAGAGGAUGAUCAGCCACACUGGGACUGAGACACGGCCCAG